This 433-nucleotide ribosomal RNA is filed under the name uncultured bacterium. RNAcentral describes it as "partial 16S ribosomal RNA". It matches the Rfam family "Bacterial small subunit ribosomal RNA", at positions 29 to 507 of the family's 1533-position model. The record is from RNAcentral.
AACGAACGCUGGCGGCAUGCCUAACACAUGCAAGUCGAACGAGACCUUCGGGUCUAGUGGCGCACGGGUGCGUAACGCGUGGGAACCUGCCCUUAGGUUCGGAAUAACUCCCCGAAAGGGGUGCUAAUACCGGAUAAUGUCUUCGGACCAAAGAUUUAUCGCCUUUGGAUGGGCCCGCGUUGGAUUAGCUAGUUGGUAGGGUAAAAGCCUACCAAGGCGACGAUCCAUAGCUGGUCUGAGAGGAUGAUCAGCCACACUGGGACUGAGACACGGCCCAGACUCCUACGGGAGGUAGCAGUGGGGAAUAUUGGACAAUGGGCGAAAGCCUGAUCCAGCAAUGCCGCGUAAGUGAUGAAGGCCUUAGGGUUGUAAAGCUCUUUUACCCGGGAUGAUAAUGACAGUACCGGGAGAAUAAGCUCCGGCUAACUCCGUG